GAUGAACGCUGGCGGCGUGCUUAACACAUGCAAGUCGAACGAGAAUCAGUGGAUCAAGGAUUCGUCUGAGUGAAGCUGAGGAAAGUGGCGGACGGGUGAGUAACGCGUGAGCAAUCUGCCUUGGAGUGGGGAAUAACGGCUGGAAACAGCCGCUAAUACCGCAUGACGCGUCUGGGAGGCAUCUCUCUGGACGCCAAAGAUUUAUCGCUCUGAGAUGAGCUCGCGUCUGAUUAGCUAGUUGGCGGGGUAACGGCCCACCAAGGCGACGAUCAGUAGCCGGCCUGAGAGGGUGAACGGCCACAUUGGGACUGAGACACGGCCCAA
This 324-nucleotide ribosomal RNA is filed under the name uncultured bacterium. RNAcentral describes it as "bacterial SSU rRNA". It matches the Rfam family "Bacterial small subunit ribosomal RNA", at positions 28 to 334 of the family's 1533-position model. The record is from RNAcentral.